AUGAACGCUGGCGGCGUGCUUAACACAUGCAAGUCGAACGGAACUACUCCAAUGAGAGUCUUCGGAAAGGAUUUGGCUUAGUUUAGUGGCGGACGGGUGAGUAACGCGUGGGUAACCUGCCCUAUACAGGGGGAUAACAGUUGGAAACGACUGUUAAUACCGCAUAAGCGCACAGGAGCGCAUGCUCCGGUGUGAAAAACUCCGGUGGUAUAGGAUGGACCCGCGUCUGAUUAGCUGGUUGGCGGGGUAACGGCCCACCAAGGCGACGAUCAGUAGCCGGCCUGAGAGGGUGAACGGCCACAUUGGGACUGAGACACGGCCCAAACUCCUACGGGAGGCAGCAGUGGGGAAUAUUGCACAAUGGGGGAAACCCUGAUGCAGCGACGCCGCGUGAGCGAAGAAGUAUCUCGGUAUGUAAAGCUCUAUCAGCAGGGAAGAAAAUGACGGUACCUGACUAAGAAGCCCCGGCUAACUACGUG
This 479-nucleotide ribosomal RNA is filed under the name uncultured bacterium. RNAcentral's name for it is "partial 16S ribosomal RNA". It matches the Rfam family "Bacterial small subunit ribosomal RNA", at positions 29 to 507 of the family's 1533-position model. The record is from RNAcentral.